Transfer RNA from Camelus ferus (Wild Bactrian camel), 72 nucleotides. It matches the Rfam family "tRNA". From Rfam's summary of the family: Transfer RNA (tRNA) molecules are approximately 80 nucleotides in length. Their secondary structure includes four short double-helical elements and three loops (D, anti-codon, and T loops). The record is from Rfam. Lineage: Eukaryota; Metazoa; Chordata; Mammalia; Artiodactyla; Camelidae.
GAGGGUAUAGCUCAGUGGUAGAGCACAUGCUUAGCAUGCAUGAGGUCCUGGGUUCAAUCUCCAGUACCUCCA